CACGUAGGCGGAUGUGUCAGUCAGGGGUGAAAUCCCGGAGCUCAACUUCGGAACUGCCCUUGAUACAGCACAUCUGGAGUCCGGAAGAGGUGGGCGGAAUUCCUAGUGUAGAGGUGAAAUUCGUAGAUAUUAGGAAGAACACCGGUGGCGAAGGCGGCCCACUGGUCCGGUACUGACGCUGAGGUGCGAAAGCGUGGGGAGCAAGCA
This 207-nucleotide ribosomal RNA is filed under the name uncultured bacterium. RNAcentral describes it as "partial 16S ribosomal RNA". It matches the Rfam family "Bacterial small subunit ribosomal RNA", at positions 568 to 774 of the family's 1533-position model. The record is from RNAcentral.